Molecule: ribosomal RNA, 398 nt
Filed under: uncultured bacterium
Lineage: Bacteria
Description: bacterial SSU rRNA
Rfam family: Bacterial small subunit ribosomal RNA
Source: RNAcentral
AUUGAACGCUGGCGGCAUGCCUUACACAUGCAAGUCGAACGGUAACGCGGGGCAACCUGGCGACGAGUGGCGAACGGGUGAGUAAUACAUCGGAACGUGCCCAGUAGUGGGGGAUAGCCCGGCGAAAGCCGGAUUAAUACCGCAUACGACCUACGGGUGAAAGCGGGGGAUCGCAAGACCUCGCGCUAUUGGAGCGGCCGAUGUCAGAUUAGCUAGUUGGUGGGGUAAAAGCCUACCAAGGCGACGAUCUGUAGCUGGUCUGAGAGGACGACCAGCCACACUGGGACUGAGACACGGCCCAGACUCCUACGGGAGGCAGCAGUGGGGAAUUUUGGACAAUGGGGGCAACCCUGAUCCAGCCAUGCCGCGUGCGGGAAGAAGGGCCCUUCGGGUUGGUU